RNAcentral lists this ribosomal RNA (490 nucleotides) under uncultured bacterium. RNAcentral's name for it is "partial 16S ribosomal RNA". It matches the Rfam family "Bacterial small subunit ribosomal RNA", at positions 30 to 507 of the family's 1533-position model. The record is from RNAcentral.
AUUGAACGCUGGCGGCAGGCCUAGCACAUGCAAGUCGAACGGUAACAGGAAACAGCUUGCUGUUUCGCUGACGAGUGGCGGACGGGUGAGUAAUGUCUGGGGAACUCCACGAUGGAGGGGGAUAACUACUGGAAACGGUAGCGAAUACCGCAUAACGUCGCAAGACCAAAGAGGGGGACCUUCGGGCCUCUUGCCAUCGGGUGUGCCCAGAUGGGAUUAGCUAGUAGGUGGGGUAACGGCGCACCUAGGCGACGAUACCUAGCUGGUCUGAGAGGAUGAGCAGCCACACUGGAACUGAGACACGGUCCAGACUCCUACGGGAGGCAGCAGUGGGGAAUAUUGCACAAUGGGCGCAAGCCUGAUGCAGCCAUGCCGCGUGUAUGAAGAAGGCCUUCGGGUUGUAAAGUACUUUCAGCGGGGAGGAAGGGAGUAAAGUUAAUACCUUGACUCAUUGACGUUACCCGCAGAAGAAGCACCGGCUAACUCCGUG